This is a long non-coding RNA of Oncorhynchus tshawytscha (Chinook salmon), 641 nucleotides long. NCBI's taxonomy places the organism in Eukaryota, Metazoa, Chordata, Actinopteri, Salmoniformes, Salmonidae. The record is from Ensembl.
CUUCAAUCAGUACAGAUGAAGGGGAGGAGACCGGGUACCUCUUGAAUGGCUCCAUCGGCAACAUUUCAAGCUAGCUAUGGAGUGAGUUUACGGAGGAGGAGGGUCCAGAGGUGCUGCUGUUGAAGGAGGAGGGUUGUGAGGAGGGUCUGGGGAACCCUGAAGGGACCAUGGUCAUGGAGGACAACCACACUACACCUCGUCUGAACCCACAGAGUAACCAACUGAGCAGCACACAGACCACACAGUGUCACUGAGGUUUAGUCCACUGUCAACUACAUGAAUGGUAUUAGGUCAGAGCCAGUACAGUAUAGGCAGGUGGGGAUCCUAGAUCAGCGCUCUUACUCUGAGACUAUGGAUAAAGGCCCAGAUCAAACCCUUGAAUGAGUAGGUGUGUCCAAACUUUUGACUGGUACUGUGUAGUAUGAUGAGGCAGAGUAGAUGAUAUGGUUGAUGGGAUGGGGUCUGUAAAAAUGCUUCACUGAUGUAAAGUGACAACCCUGUCCUGUUGUUUGAUGCUGGUGUUUUAUGAGGAAAGUAUAGUGCUUUACUUCAUGUUUACUUGGCAUGAAGUAGUGAAGUUGUGUGUAACUUAAUGUUGAACCUUUUCCAAAGUAUUCUUACAUUCAUUUUAUCAAUUCGAG